Molecule: ribosomal RNA, 864 nt
Filed under: Calvatia holothurioides
Lineage: Eukaryota; Fungi; Basidiomycota; Agaricomycetes; Agaricales; Lycoperdaceae
Description: partial large subunit ribosomal RNA
Rfam family: Eukaryotic large subunit ribosomal RNA
Source: RNAcentral
GGAAAAGCUCAAAUUUAAAAUCUGGCAGUCUUUGAUUGUCCGAGUUGUAAUCUAGAGAAGUGAUGCCCGCGCUGGACCGUGUACAAGUCUCCUGGAAUGGAGCGUCAUAGAGGGUGAGAAUCCCGUCUCUGACACGGACUACCAGGGCUUUGUGGUAUGCUCUCAAAGAGUCGAGUUGUUUGGGAAUGCAGCUCUAAAUGGGUGGUAAAUUCCAUCUAAAGCUAAAUAUUGGCGAGAGACCGAUAGCGAACAAGUACCGUGAGGGAAAGAUGAAAAGAACUUUGGAAAGAGAGUUAAACAGUACGUGAAAUUGCUGAAAGGGAAACGCUUGAAGUCAGUCACGUUGGCUAGGAAUCAGCCUCACUUCUGUGUGGUGUACUUUCUGGUUGAUGGGUCAGCAUCAAUUUUGACCACUGGAAAAAGACUUGGGGAAUGUGGCAGCUCCGGCUGUGUUAUAGCCCUUUGUCACAUACAGUGGUUGGGAUUGAGGAACUCAGCACGCCGCAAGGCCGGGUUUCGACCACGUUCGUGCUUAGGAUGCUGGCAUAAUGGCUUUAAGCGACCCGUCUUGAAACACGGACCAAGGAGUCUAACAUGCCUGCGAGUGUUUGGGUGGAAAACCCGGGCGCGUAAUGAAAGUGAAAGUUGAGAUCCCUGUCGUGGGGAGCAUCGACGCCCGGACCUGAACUUUUGUGACGGAUCCGCGGUAGAGCAUGUAUGUUGGGACCCGAAAGAUGGUGAACUAUGCCUGAAUAGGGUGAAGCCAGAGGAAACUCUGGUGGAGGCUCGUAGCGAUUCUGACGUGCAAAUCGAUCGUCAAAUUUGGGUAUAGGGGCGAAAGACUAAUCGAACCAUCUAGUAGCU